This 276-nucleotide ribosomal RNA is filed under the name uncultured bacterium. RNAcentral's name for it is "partial 16S ribosomal RNA". It matches the Rfam family "Bacterial small subunit ribosomal RNA", at positions 156 to 447 of the family's 1533-position model. The record is from RNAcentral.
ACUUGUGCUAAUACCGGAUAAGUCUUUACAGAGAAAGCUUUAUGCACCAUUGGAUGAGCCUGCACUUGAUUAGUUUGUUGGUGGGGUAAUGGCCUACCAAGACUGUGAUCAAUAGCUGAUUUGAGAGGAUGAUCAGCCACAUUGGGACUGAGACACGGCCCAAACUCCUACGGGAGGCAGCAGUGGGGAAUCUUGCACAAUGGAGGAAACUCUGAUGCAGCGAUGCCGCGUGAGUGAAGAAGGCCCUUGGGUUGUAAAGCUCUUUCGUCGGGGAAG